Molecule: long non-coding RNA, 253 nt
Organism: Callorhinchus milii (elephant shark)
Lineage: Eukaryota; Metazoa; Chordata; Chondrichthyes; Chimaeriformes; Callorhinchidae
Exons: 3
Source: RefSeq, a predicted model, not a curated record
GAGGAUGGUCUUGAGAUGGACCUUGAAGGAGGAUCAAAUUUCUUUCCUCCUUUUCAACGUGCUUUGAAGGGGGCUGAGCGUAGACUCGGAGUAUGUUAACGCACAGCGAGUGGAUGAGAAUUAACGCUGCAAACUCCGAAUAAAGAAGCAGUAAAUUGAAUCCCCUCGGGUGAUGACGGCUAUUGUGAUGGAAUGAGUACAGACUGAAUUAAUGACUUAGUGUCACACAGUCUUAACACACGCCGUUGAGACG